RNAcentral lists this ribosomal RNA (533 nucleotides) under uncultured bacterium. Its description in RNAcentral is "bacterial SSU rRNA". It matches the Rfam family "Bacterial small subunit ribosomal RNA", at positions 777 to 1305 of the family's 1533-position model. The record is from RNAcentral.
AAUAGAUACCCAGGUAGUCCACGCCGUAAACGAUGUCGACUUGGAGGUUGUGCCCUUGAGGCGUGGCUUCCGGAGCUAACGCGUUAAGUCGACCGCCUGGGGAGUACGGCCGCAAGGUUAAAACUCAAAUGAAUUGACGGGGGCCCGCACAAGCGGUGGAGCAUGUGGUUUAAUUCGAUGCAACGCGAAGAACCUUACCUACUCUUGACAUCCAGAGAACUUAGCAGAGAUGCUUUGGUGCCUUCGGGAACUCUGAGACAGGUGCUGCAUGGCUGUCGUCAGCUCGUGUUGUGAAAUGUUGGGUUAAGUCCCGCAACGAGCGCAACCCUUAUCCUUUGUUGCCAGCGGUUAGGCCGGGAACUCAAAGGAGACUGCCAGUGAUAAACUGGAGGAAGGUGGGGGAUGACGUCAAGUCAUCAUGGCCCUUACGAGUAGGGCUACACACGUGCUACAAUGGCAUAUACAAAAGAGAAAGCGACCUCGCGAGAGCAAAGCGGACCUCAUAAAAGUAUGUCGUAGUCCGGAUUGGGAGU